Molecule: RNA transcript, 2114 nt
Organism: Hevea brasiliensis (rubber tree)
Lineage: Eukaryota; Viridiplantae; Streptophyta; Magnoliopsida; Malpighiales; Euphorbiaceae
Gene name: 2,3-bisphosphoglycerate-dependent phosphoglycerate mutase 1
Exons: 9
Source: RefSeq, a predicted model, not a curated record
AUAUGAAUUGUUUGAAAUCCAUCUCAGUUUGUUUAUAGAUCCUUUCUAUAAAGUUAGAUUAAAUCAAUGAUAAUAAUCUCUAAUCAUAAGUCCUGAAUCUCCGAUGGUCAUGACCAUCAUAUUUGGUUAGCUCUGGUUGUUUGCACCUUAAAAAACGUAAAAUCUUCAAUUUUAUCAUAUAAAAACAAACAAAGAGGCAAAUAUUUUUCGAGUUAGGAUCGCAUAGAAACUCAAAAUUUCAGAAUAGAUAGCAUCGUCAUCGCAGCAUCUAUAAGACAGCCACCAUCGAUUUUUUUCUACUUUUAUGAUUCCACACAUACCCAUCUAACUAGCUUUCCCUCUGUUUUCUGUCCUUUUUGAAUUGAAAUGGACGUUUAGCAUGCUCCGUUCUUCCACAUCCCAUCAUCCUCUCCGUCACCUUUUCUUGUAAUAAAUUCUCCCCAUUUCUUCUCACUUUAUUUUCUUUUCCUCGUUUUCGUCGCUUUUGCGCCUAUAUAACCAGAAUGGCCAGUGCUGUGUUUCACCCGGCAAUAGGGACUCUUCUAUCCCAUCAUCUUCACAAUUCUGAAUUUCACCGAGAGUUUGGAAAUGUGUCGGUGAAAUCGAUUUCAAAAGGUUUAAAGUUUGAUGUCGGAUUGUCAACGUCGAGAAUGGAAGGUUACAGCUCUAAUAAGAGGAAUUUUAGUGCUGUUCAAGCCUCAGCGUCUCAAACUUCAUUGGUUGAUCCAGUUUCAACCCCCUCAAAUGACAGCACCAAUGAAUUUCAAAAGAAAUCAAGCGAGGCAGCUCUGAUACUCGUUAGGCAUGGUGAGUCAUUAUGGAAUGAAAAGAACCUGUUCACAGGUUGUGUUGAUGUGCCAUUGACAAAAAAGGGUGUGGAAGAGGCAAUUGAAGCUGGUAAGAGAAUCAGCAAUAUACCUGUCGACAUGAUAUUUACAUCAUCCUUGAUCCGUGCACAGAUGACUGCUAUGCUUGCCAUGACUCAACACCGUCGUAGAAAGGUGCCAAUCAUCAUGCACAAUGAGAGUGAACAGGCAAGGGCAUGGAGUCAAAUUUUUAGUGAAGACACAAUGAGGCAAUCCAUUCCAGUUAUAACGGCUUGGCAAUUAAAUGAAAGAAUGUAUGGGGAAUUACAAGGUCUGAAUAAGCAGGAAACAGCAGAUAGAUUUGGCAAGGAAAAAGUUCAUGAAUGGCGGAGAAGUUAUGACAUACCUCCACCAAAUGGAGAGAGUUUGGAGAUGUGUGCUAAAAGAGCUGUUGCUUAUUUCAAAGAUCAGAUUGAACCCCAGCUUUGUUCUGGGAAGCAUGUAAUGAUUGCUGCCCAUGGAAAUUCGUUGAGGUCCAUAAUUAUGUAUCUUGACAAAUUAACUUCUCAGGAGGUUAUAAGUUUAGAACUCUCAACCGGAAUACCUAUGCUUUACAUAUUCAAAGAGGGGAGGUUCACUAGAAGGGGAAGUCCUGCAGGACCAACUGAGGCUGGGGUCUAUGCAUAUACUAGGUUCUAAGCCAACUGUUCAAUGCCCUGGAGAAGUCCCUGAGCAGCAUGCAGCAACCUGCUUUCACUGCAGGAGCAGCUAAAACAGCGUUUACAGCCAAUGGAUUUGGGAUUGCCUGUGCUGCAGUGGUUGUGAAAUUGAGAUUAUGGAUUUUACCUUAUUGAGAGAAUAAAUGGAAGCACCAAUUUAUUGUUGCUAUGAAUUUUUCUUUUCCUUUUUACCCCCUUAUUUUCUCUCCUGAAAGUAUCUAAAAAGAGCACUGACACCAAUGCUAUGUUGAUGCAGAGAUUAGCUCAAUACAGGCAGAAAUUAGACGAGAUGUUGCAUUAACAUGUCCUAGAAUCGGGGGCUACUUACCAUCGCAUUGUAGUUGGUGUCAUAGAUGUAAACAAGAAAAUGGAGGAAAGACGAUUAUGUGGCAUAUGUAGCUAUUGCUCUCAGCCGCUGGAAGUGAAUUGCUACAGCAUUUGUCAAUCGAGUGUACUUGUCUUGAGUCCUUGAUUUUUCAAAUCUUGUAAUGGAUGGACUGAAAUAAAUAAGAACAUCUUUGGUACAAGACGUAGACCAUUUUAAUCAUUACAAAUUUGAUGGAAUUAUAUGAAUAGUAGCUUUUUCUAA